RNAcentral lists this ribosomal RNA (253 nucleotides) under uncultured bacterium. Its description in RNAcentral is "partial 16S ribosomal RNA". It matches the Rfam family "Bacterial small subunit ribosomal RNA", at positions 524 to 776 of the family's 1533-position model. The record is from RNAcentral.
UACGGAGGGUGCAAGCGUUAUCCGGAUUCACUGGGUUUAAAGGGUGCGUGGGCGGACAGGUAAGUCAGUGGUGAAAUCUCUGGGCUUAACCCAGAAACUGCCGUUGAUACUAUUUGUCUUGAAUAUCCUGGAGGUAGGCGGAAUAUGUCAUGUAGCGGUGAAAUGCUUAGAUAUGACAUAGAACACCGAUAGCGAAGGCAGCUUACUACAGGAUGAUUGACGCUGAGGCACGAAAGCGUGGGGAGCAAACAGG